Molecule: non-coding RNA, 656 nt
Organism: Heterocephalus glaber (naked mole-rat)
Lineage: Eukaryota; Metazoa; Chordata; Mammalia; Rodentia; Bathyergidae
Source: RefSeq, a predicted model, not a curated record
CUGCAGAAACUGAGAGUCUGAUGGUGAAAGACCAAGAGAACUGGCAGCCUGAGCUCUUCUUCACUCAUUGCUCAGUCUUCAUUAAUCUGCUAAGCCAUGAAUUUGGGUAUUUCUAGUAGCAUUCCAUUUCCAAAUGUGUGCAAGCAAUUCUCUGGCCUGACCAAGUAAUGAGUGCACAAGUUGCAUAAGCAGUUGGCUCGCCCUUCCAUGUUCUGUGCCUGGUGUACUCAACUGUUAUCUCUUUUUCUAGCAGAAAUACCAAAUUAGGGAUUAGAAGAAUGGACAAGGAGACCUCAGGAGGAAGUUGCCAGUGGUUUUCUCACAGAGGGUCUAGAGUGUGAAGACAUCUCGGGAAUCAGAAUGGCAAUACCAGAUGCUUCACCAAUAAUGACAAGUUUGUAGGCACGAGAUAAGCAAAUGCCUGCAACAUUGCCUAACUACAACCCCCCACCCAAGUGAGGCCAGAUGUCUGAACCAAGAUAACAGUCACCAUGCCUGACGAGCAAAAGUGCAUGUAGACCCUAAACUUUCUGUGAACCACAUGACCAGAAUUCCCUGGUUUAGAGUAUAAAUGUAAGCCACCAAUGUAACUCUGGGGGAGUCCUUGAAGGCAUGUUCCUGUGGGGCUGGCCUGCUAGCAAAUAAAUUUUGUUGCU